GCGGAGGACGGAGAGCGGAGGGCUUUGACUGCGCCUGCGCAGAAUUUGUCUUCGCUUCCUUCUGUUUUCACAGCCGCAGACUCUUGCAAUGCCUGUGUUUUCUCUGGUUGCGACCUUGUGGGCGCUCUGAUUCCACAUAUAAGCGACAUCAAAAUGUUUUAGUGGAAGUAUCUCUACUCCAGGAGGAGCUGGAUUCCUGCCCAACAGGACGUUUUCAUUUGAUGAGCUCUUAACAGGACAAUGCAAGGAACAAGUUUCCUGAAGUUAAUACAUGAUCCAAGACAAGUCCUGACCAAGGGAAAUGGUCAGGAUCCGUACCUGCUAAAGAGGAACAGCCGUGAAUCAACAGCAUAAACCCAGAAGACGAUUCAUCCCAGCCUCUUUCCAGUUUGGAAAUCAUUCUUUACAUCAUGGACUAUUUUUCCCCCAAUUUAGGGGAAUUUGCCUUAUUUCAAAUUUUGCCCAUAGAAUGAAACUUAAUUACCAUGUUUUAAAUCACAACAUUUAUAGUUCACAAAAUUCGGAUUUACGUGAAUUGUGUCCUUGGGGCGCAGGGAGAGGCGUGCCUUGCUCUGCCCUGGAUCAGGUAACCACUCAGUGUCCCAUCCAACAGACAAUACGCAAUGGCUUCUUCUCUCAGUUAUUACCAAAAAAAAUUGUUUUAACAUAAUGAUUAAAGCUUUGCACUACACAUGGAGAGGCAGUCCAGUGGUUGAGAAAUGCUGAAUCAGUCAGGACAAGGGACAGGGCAACCCACAGGUCAGACAUUCCUUUCACUCCUAACCUCAUAUGUAAAUAGCACUCAUGUUCUAAGCACCCCUGUUAUUCAGAAACCACCAGAUUGGGAAGGGACCUUAGGAGUUGUCAGGGCUGGCCCCCUGGGCUGUGCAGGGGUCUCCUUAGUGAAAUUCUUAAUAGCCAGCUAUUAGAAGCACCCCCUUGGAGUAGAAAGCCCCUCUUCCAGGAUCCAGGUAGUUGGAGGUUUUUUGGGGGUUUUUUGUAACAGCUCUGGCUAUAUAAACUUCAUGCAUACACUGAAAAAAGUGGUCAGAUGUUCACUCUGCCAUGACCUGAAUAGGAUAUAGAAUACAAAGCAACAUUCUCUCCCCAAGACAAGGAUGAAUUUUGAUGCAGGCUUAGCUACUUAUGUUUUUCCAUGCCUCAUAACCAAUUUCAGCAUUAGUUGCCUCAUCUUAAAAAAAAAAAUAAAUGGUUGGGGGAGGAGAGGGAAUGAGAAUACAGAGCUUACUGAGUUGUUUUGAAGACCUGAGAGGAGAAAGAACCCUCUGGAUGCUAAGUGCUGCAUGCAUGCUGGUCUAUUUGUCUCGAUUCAGAGUGCCUAUUUCUUUAAAACAGGCAGGGGCUGCUUUCCAAGUGCCCAGCCAGCUCUUGCCUUCACAAAGAUGCAUUGGCAAUUACUCAGAGCCCUGUUGUCUUCUAGGCAUUUAGAAAUUGAUUUGUCCCUGUGUUUCCAGGUGGAGAAGGUAAGCAGCUGAAUAAUGAUCCAUGGAUGAGGGCUGAGAGUCCAGGGUGGGCUCUGUAUCUGGAGGAAGAGGUGUGGGGCUUGGGAAGAGGUGACCCAGAGUCCCAGGGGAGAGCAGAGGCUGUACGCAUGGUGUCCACAAACUUCAAAUAGACACCAAAACCAGAGAGGAUGGGACAGAAAGAGCACUUGAUUUGGAGUAACGCAGACAGGGGUAUAAAUUCUAGCUCUGGCACUUACCAGCACUUACCUCAGAGAAGUCACAUCAUCUCUUUGAUUCCCACACUUUCAUUUCUAUAAAAUGGGAAUAAUAAUAAUAUCUUCCUUGCAGUAUAAAGUAGUGUUUAAGUAUUUAGCAUCUGGAGCUAGACUGCAACUUAUGAGCUAUAUGACCUUUGGAAACUUGUUUUGUAAAACGGAUUUGUGGAGGUAUGAUUGACAUAAUAUAAACUGCACACGUUCAAAGCAUACAAUUUUAUAAGUUUCUAUGAAACCAUCACCACCACCAAGAUAAUGAACACAUCCAUCACCUCCAAAAGUUUCCUCCUGCCCCUCCCACCCCUCCCAGUUACCCUUGCUCCCAGAAAACCACUGAUCUGCUUUCUGUCAUAAUAGAUUGAUUUGCAUUUUCUGUGUUUAGUGUUGGAUCGUUUCUGUUGCUACGUCAUCAAGUUCGCUGAUCUUUGAUGUUUAACAAGCCAUGCGUGUCAUCUGAUACAUUGUUACUCUCUAAUUAUAGUUUUCAUCUCUAGAACUUCAGUUCGGGCAUUUUGUUUUUUAAAGUACCUUCCUUGUAUCUACUUAACAUGUCUCAUCUCUCCUCCAGCUUCUAGAACGUAUGGAAUAAAGUUAUAAUGACUGUUUUAACAUCCUUAUCUACUAAUUCUAUCA
Camelus dromedarius (Arabian camel) is the source of this 2374-nucleotide long non-coding RNA. RefSeq lists it as uncharacterized. Lineage: Eukaryota; Metazoa; Chordata; Mammalia; Artiodactyla; Camelidae. The record is from RefSeq and is a predicted model, not a curated record. The transcript has 3 exons.